UGAGUAACGCGUGGGAAUCUACCUAUCUCUAGGGAAUAACUCAGGGAAACUUGUGCUAAUACCCUAUACGUCCGUAAGGAGAAAGAUUUAUCGGAGAUAGAUGAGCCCGCGUUGGAUUAGCUAGUUGGUGGGGUAAAGGCCUACCAAGGCGACGAUCCAUAGCUGGUCUGAGAGGAUGAUCAGCCACACUGGGACUGAGACACGGCCCAGACUCCUACGGGAGGCAGCAGUGGGGAAUAUUGGACAAUGGGCGCAAGCCUGAUCCAGCCAUGCCGCGUGAGUGAUGAAGGCCCUAGGGUUGUAAAGCUCUUUCACCGGUGAAGAUAAUGACGGUAACCGGAGAAGAAGCCCCGGCUAACUUCGUGCCAGCAGCCGCGGUAAUACGAAGGGGGCUAGCGUUGUUCGGAUUUACUGGGCGUAAAGCGCACGUAGGCGGAUUGGUCAGUUAGGGGUGAAAUCCCA
Molecule: ribosomal RNA, 462 nt
Filed under: Paenochrobactrum gallinarii
Lineage: Bacteria; Pseudomonadati; Pseudomonadota; Alphaproteobacteria; Hyphomicrobiales; Brucellaceae
Description: bacterial SSU rRNA
Rfam family: Bacterial small subunit ribosomal RNA
Source: RNAcentral